GAUCAACGCUGGCGGCGUGCAUAACACAUGCAAGUCGAACGAAGUGGCGGACGGGAGAGUAACGCGUGAGCAACCGGCCUUAGAGAAGGGGAUAGCCUUUGGAAACGAAGAAUAAUACCCUAUGGUCUAAGAUGGACUUGCGUCUGAUUAGUUAGUUGGUGAGGUAACGGCUCACCAAGACAGCGAUCAGUAGCCGGCUUGAGAGAGUGUACGGCCACAUUGGGACUGAGACACGGCCCAGACUCUACGGGGGGCAGCAGUGGGGAAUUUUGCACACUGGGGGAAACCCUGAUGCAGCGACGCCGCGUGAUUUGGAAGGCCUUCGUGUUGUAAAAAUCUUUUCUAUGGGAAGCAGUACCAUAGGAAUAAGGACCGGCUAAUUACGUGCCAGCAGCCGCGGUAAUAC
This 406-nucleotide ribosomal RNA is filed under the name uncultured bacterium. RNAcentral describes it as "partial 16S ribosomal RNA". It matches the Rfam family "Bacterial small subunit ribosomal RNA", at positions 28 to 526 of the family's 1533-position model. The record is from RNAcentral.